This 447-nucleotide ribosomal RNA is filed under the name uncultured bacterium. RNAcentral describes it as "bacterial SSU rRNA". It matches the Rfam family "Bacterial small subunit ribosomal RNA", at positions 355 to 825 of the family's 1533-position model. The record is from RNAcentral.
UCGGGAAUUUUGGGCAAUGGGCGAAAGCCUGACCCAGCAACGCCGCGUGAAGGAUGAAGUAUUUCGGUAUGUAAACUUCGAAAGAAUAGGAAGAAUAAAUGACGGUACUAUUUAUAAGGUCCGGCUAACUACGUGCCAGCAGCCGCGGUAAUACGUAGGGACCAAGCGUUGUUCGGAUUUACUGGGCGUAAAGGGCGCGUAGGCGGCAAUUCAAGUCAUCUGUGAAAUCUCCGGGCUUAACUCGGAACGGUCAGAUGAUACUGCUUUGCUAGAGUGCAGAAGGGGCAAUCGGAAUUCUUGGUGUAGCGGUGAAAUGCGUAGAUAUCAAGAGGAGCACCUGAGGUGAAGACGGGUUGCUGGGCUGACACUGACGCUGAGGCGCGAAAGCCAGGGGAGCAAACGGGAUUAGAUACCCCUGUAGUCCCUGAGCGGGCUGGCAAGGCGCAU